Molecule: ribosomal RNA, 465 nt
Filed under: Vreelandella stevensii
Lineage: Bacteria; Pseudomonadati; Pseudomonadota; Gammaproteobacteria; Oceanospirillales; Halomonadaceae
Description: partial 16S ribosomal RNA
Rfam family: Bacterial small subunit ribosomal RNA
Source: RNAcentral
CCUACGGGGGGCAGCAGUGGGGAAUAUUGGACAAUGGGGGCGACCCUGAUCCAGCCAUGCCGCGUGUGUGAAGAAGGCCCUCGGGUUGUAAAGCACUUUCAGUGAGGAAGAACGCCUGGUGGUUAAUACCCAUCAGGAAAGACAUCACUCACAGAAGAAGCACCGGCUAACUCCGUGCCAGCAGCCGCGGUAAUACGGAGGGUGCGAGCGUUAAUCGGAAUUACUGGGCGUAAAGCGCGCGUAGGUGGCUUGAUAAGCCGGUUGUGAAAGCCCCGGGCUCAACCUGGGAACGGCAUCCGGAACUGUCAAGCUAGAGUGCAGGAGAGGAAGGUAGAAUUCCCGGUGUAGCGGUGAAAUGCGUUGAGAUCGGGAGGAAUACCAGUGGCGAAGGCGGCCUUCUGGACUGACACUGACACUGAGGUGCGAAAGCGUGGGUAGCAAACAGGAUUAGAUACCCUAGUAGUC